RNAcentral lists this ribosomal RNA (486 nucleotides) under uncultured bacterium. RNAcentral describes it as "partial 16S ribosomal RNA". It matches the Rfam family "Bacterial small subunit ribosomal RNA", at positions 30 to 507 of the family's 1533-position model. The record is from RNAcentral.
AUUGAACGCUGGCGGCAUGCCUUACACAUGCAAGUCGAACGGCAGCACGGGUGCUUGCACCUGGUGGCGAGUGGCGAACGGGUGAGUAAUACAUCGGAACAUGUCCUGUAGUGGGGGAUAGCCCGGCGAAAGCCGGAUUAAUACCGCAUACGAUCUACGGAUGAAAGCGGGGGACCUUCGGGCCUCGCGCUAUAGGGUUGGCCGAUGGCUGAUUAGCUAGUUGGUGGGGUAAAGGCCUACCAAGGCGACGAUCAGUAGCUGGUCUGAGAGGAUGACCAGCCACACUGGGACUGAGACACGGCCCAGACUCCUACGGGAGGCAGCAGUGGGGAAGUUUGGACAAUGGGCGAAAGCCUGAUCCAGCAAUGCCGCGUGUGUGAAGAAGGCCUUCGGGUUGUAAAGCACUUUUGUCCGGAAAGAAAUCCUUGGCCCUAAUACGGUCGGGGGAUGACGGUACCGGAAGAAUAAGCACCGGCUAACUACGUG